UACAGAGGUCUCAACCGUUGUUCGGAUUCAUUGGGCGUAAAGGGUUCGUAGGCGGUCGCGUAAGUCAGGUGUGAAAUCUCAGGGCUCAACCCUGAAACUGCACUUGAUACUGCGUGGCUCGGGUACUGGAGAGGAGACUGGAAUUUACGGUGUAGCAGUGAAAUGCGUAGAUAUCGUAAGGAAGACCAGUGGCGAAGGCGAGUCUCUGGACAGUUACCGACGCUGAGGCACGAAGGUCAGGGGAGCAAACGGG
RNAcentral lists this ribosomal RNA (253 nucleotides) under uncultured bacterium. RNAcentral's name for it is "partial 16S ribosomal RNA". It matches the Rfam family "Bacterial small subunit ribosomal RNA", at positions 524 to 776 of the family's 1533-position model. The record is from RNAcentral.